AAUUAGCAUACGAACAAAGCUUAUAUAUAACCAUGAUAUGGAUGGUUGUCUCUACCCAGAGCCCUAAACUCCGGACUAUAAGCAAAUUAAGUCAAUGU
Molecule: non-coding RNA, 98 nt
Filed under: Furfurilactobacillus rossiae
Lineage: Bacteria; Bacillati; Bacillota; Bacilli; Lactobacillales; Lactobacillaceae
Also listed under: 1 other name
Description: Lactobacillus rossiae Guanine sequence
Rfam family: Purine riboswitch aptamer
About the family: Riboswitches are metabolite binding domains within certain messenger RNAs that serve as precision sensors for their corresponding targets. Allosteric rearrangement of mRNA structure is mediated by ligand binding, and this results in modulation of gene expression. A class of riboswitches that selectively recognises guanine and becomes saturated at concentrations as low as 5 nM.
Source: RNAcentral